This is a long non-coding RNA of Daphnia pulicaria, 1191 nucleotides long. RefSeq lists it as uncharacterized. The record is from RefSeq and is a predicted model, not a curated record. NCBI's taxonomy places the organism in Eukaryota, Metazoa, Arthropoda, Branchiopoda, Diplostraca, Daphniidae. The transcript is spliced from 3 exons.
AUUGCAAAUUCAAAUGUAUCACUGCCCAGUGUUUUGAGAUCAAGCCGAAUGAAUCAAAAUGAUGAAUUUUAUUCUUCUUCAAGGACUCGUAAAUAAUUGAUGGGAUAGGCUAGACGAUGGCGCAUGAUGGCCAGCCCAAAAAGCGAACCGCCCAGAUGACUUUUAUGAUGUGCAAGGUCGCUUUUGACUUGUGCUGCCGGCCAAGAAUAUAAGGCCAUUUUUUGGUCUAUAAUUUUCGGCUAUAACACGCGCUCAGUCUAUUCGAUCUCCUAUCAUUAAAUUCAGGAUUUUUCUAUUGUUUUGUUAAUCACAGAGUUCGUCUAUGAUUGCGGGAAAAUAAUAAUUGUCAUCGUCCGACCACGCCCAGAUUGAUGUAAUCUCAAGGUUGUCGUUUUAUUUUUGAAUUCACUGGAAAUGUGACUAUCAGAUCGUUUGCGUUAGUGAUCAGACGAUUAAAACAAAUCACGACUAGAUUUUAUGAUAAGACUGAAGACAAUUAAUCUUGAGUGAAAUGUUGAUCAAGGUAGGGAGACACAUUUAUUCCAAUGAUUUCCAGUGAAUAAGAUAACAGAUCCCCAUCGUAUUUCCGUAAAUUGUUUGACACAGAAAUUCGAUAAAAUAUCUUGUUGUCCAAUUGGCUAUAACUUAUUUGAGGUUGACAGUAUAAUCAAUUAAUCGGGCGGAACCUUUUUUCCAGUCGAUUAAGUGGGACCAUCUAUUUUUUCGCUAGUUUUUCUCAGAAAUCACAGCAGCAGUGACCAGACGGAAAGAGAUGCCUCACCAUAUACAAGUUGGUGAAAGAUAGUCCACACACUCGGUUCUAUUACACAAGAACAAAAAGGGCGACCUUGCAUUCAUUUGCCCAAAUGCCUUUGAAUUGUCAUUAUUAUAUGACGUCAUUUCAAAAGUGAAUGCGUGCAUGGAAUUGCUGGAAUCGCGCUGGAGGCAAGGUCGUGUAGCAAUCAACGAUCCAAUCAGACCCUAUACGAUCAUGAGAUAAUAAAUAAGAACUUGCAAUCAUCAAAACGGUGAACAAGGUUAAAUGUAACUAAUAGGCAGAAAGACGCAAGCUUGUUCUUAGAAAAGUUCACCGGUUUAUUUUUCACGAGGCCUUACUAAUCGAAAUGAUUAUUCUAUUACGUAAGUUGACAUAUUUAAAAUUGGGUUAGUUUUGCGAAUAAGAAUCGAUAA